CCUUCGAAGGCCGCGGCUCACCACCACGCGCUGGCCGCGGGCGAAGGCUGGGGCCGGGGCCUCGCGUGGUGAUGAGAGCCCGCCUGCUUGUCGGCGCAGUCGGCCCAGCGAUCCCGAAAUCGGGACUGCACCGGGUCUGAAGUCUUGGGAACAUGAGUUCCAGAUCCUCCCUGUGUGUAACAGCUAGUUCUCCACAGGCUUGGAAAGUAAGACUAGGGAGAGAGGCGCCAUUACAAAGACCGUUCCUGAGGCGUGAAGAUGUAAACCAGAUGAGAAGUCAAGCCAGGUUCUUUUCAUAAUUGGCUAAUUUUGCCAUGUUAUUUUUCAAAGCUACGAUUUUACUUGUCUCCUUUAAUCCCUGCCAUACGGUUGCCUGUAAUAACUUUAAAAAAGAGAAAUGCACUUACAGGAACACUUAACCAAGAUACUGCCUGCCACAACUGCUCUGAAGACUGAAAAACCUGGCUGGCACAUUUUCACUCAAAGGAAACAUUUACAUGAGAAGCUAAACUAGGAAGGAUUUCCAAUGAGUACGGAAUCAACCCGCAUGAAGAUACAGCAAGAAUUCUUCUGUCUACAAGCCAGGAAGCAGGUUCUCACCAGGCACUGAACCUGCCACAACUUGAUCUUGGACUUCCCAGCCUCCAAACUGCGGGAAACAAAUGUU
Hyaena hyaena (striped hyena) is the source of this 667-nucleotide long non-coding RNA. RefSeq lists it as uncharacterized. The transcript is spliced from 3 exons. Lineage: Eukaryota; Metazoa; Chordata; Mammalia; Carnivora; Hyaenidae. The record is from RefSeq and is a predicted model, not a curated record.